Molecule: non-coding RNA, 201 nt
Filed under: Clostridiales bacterium
Lineage: Bacteria; Bacillati; Bacillota; Clostridia; Eubacteriales
Description: T-box sequence
Rfam family: T-box leader
About the family: Uncharged tRNA acts as the effector for transcription antitermination of genes in the T-box leader family. T-boxes are found upstream of many aminoacyl-tRNA synthetase genes and some amino acid biosynthetic genes usually in Gram-positive bacteria.
Source: RNAcentral
AUAAAUACAGUGAAGGAGACAUAUGCCUGUAAACAGGGUCAAGAGAGCUCGUGGUCGGUGUAAACGGGUCGAAUGGAUACAGGUAGAUCACUCUGGAGUAGCCUAUUCGAAAGUGUGAGGGUAGUGCCGUUAGUCGCGUUAAGAUAUGAGUGCAUACGUCAGUAUGAAUAAAGGUGGUACCGCGUUAUAGACGUCCUUUAG